Molecule: ribosomal RNA, 425 nt
Filed under: uncultured bacterium
Lineage: Bacteria
Description: partial 16S ribosomal RNA
Rfam family: Bacterial small subunit ribosomal RNA
Source: RNAcentral
GUUAGGAAUAUUGGACAAUGGACGCAAGUCUGAUCCAGCCAUGCCGCGUGAGUGAUGAAGGCCUUCGGGUUGUAAAGCUCUUUAGCCGAUGAUUAUAAUGACUGUAGUCGGAAAAUAAGCCCCGGCUAACUUCGUGCCAGCAGCCGCGGUAAUACGAAGGGGGCGAGCGUUAUUCGGAAUCACUGGGCGUAAAGCGUGCGUAGGCUGUUUUGUAAGUCAGAAGUGAAAGCCCAGGGCUUAACCCUGGAAGUGCUUUUGAAACUACAAGACUCGAAUUCGGGAGAGGAUAGCGGAAUUGUCAGUGUAGCAGUGAAAUGCGUAGAUAUUGACAGGAACACCAGUGGCGCAAGCGGCGAUCUGGACCGAUAUUGACGCUGAGGCACGAAAGCGUGGGGAGCAAACAGGAUUAGAAACCCGGGUAGUCC